GACGAACGCUGGCGGCGUGCUUAACACAUGCAAGUCGAGCGGUAAGGCCUCGUAGGGGGUCCACGGGCGGCGAACGGGGGGGUAACACGUCGGUGACCUGCCCUCAGCUGUUAGAUAAGCCUGGGAAACUGGGUCUAAUACCGGAGAUGACGUUUCCUCGCAUGGGGAUUGGUGGGAAGUUUUUUUGGCUGGGGAUGGGCCCACGGCCUAUCAGCUUGUUGGUGGGGUGAUGGCCUACCAAGGCGACGACCGGUAGCCGGGCUGAGAGGGCGACCGGACAAACCUGGAAUGGGGCACGGCCCAGGAUCCUUCGGGGGGGAGGAGGGGGGAAUAUUGCGCAAUGGGCGGAAGGCUGAAGGAGCGACGACGCGUGGGGGAUGACGGCCUUCGGGUUGUAAAACUCUUUCGAUCCCGACGAAUUUGGACGGUAGGGGUAGAAGAAGCACCGGCUAACUACGUG
Molecule: ribosomal RNA, 460 nt
Filed under: uncultured bacterium
Lineage: Bacteria
Description: partial 16S ribosomal RNA
Rfam family: Bacterial small subunit ribosomal RNA
Source: RNAcentral